AUCCCCACUGCAGAAUGAAUG
RNAcentral lists this microRNA (21 nucleotides) under Anolis carolinensis (green anole). Its description in RNAcentral is "aca-miR-5453". The record is from miRBase by way of RNAcentral. Lineage: Eukaryota; Metazoa; Chordata; Lepidosauria; Squamata; Anolidae.